RNAcentral lists this long non-coding RNA (311 nucleotides) under Nicotiana benthamiana. Its description in RNAcentral is "long non-coding RNA (NBEN_LNC039726)". The record is from RNAcentral. Lineage: Eukaryota; Viridiplantae; Streptophyta; Magnoliopsida; Solanales; Solanaceae.
UGGUGUGUGUGUAUACUAACUACAAAUUAAGUUACGUCAAAUUACUGAACUAAACUUGAAGCGUCAAAACAAGACUUGAGCUGUUCCUUUGGGGUUUUUCUUGGGCGUUGAAAUAACCAACUCCAAAUUUGAACAGAUAAGGGAAAUACAAUUGUUUCACUAUAACAACCCAACCCAUUAGUGAUAAUAUCCUCUUUGGGUCUUAGGCCCGCAUAACUUUUUAACUUGUCAUUAGGGUUUAAGGCUUCCUUCCUUAUAUACCCAAUAUCUCUUGUGUUUUACUGAUGUGCGAUUUACCUGAGUGUUCAUAA